GUGGGGAAUAUUGGACAAUGGGCGAAAGCCUGAUCCAGCCAUGCCGCGUGUGUGAAGAAGGUCUUCGGAUUGUAAAGCACUUUAAGUUGGGAGGAAGGGUAGUAACCUAAUACGUUGCUACUUUGACGUUACCGACAGAAUAAGCACCGGCUAACUUCGUGCCAGCAGCCGCGGUAAUACGAAGGGUGCAAGCGUUAAUCGGAAUUACUGGGCGUAAAGCGCGCGUAGGUGGUUCAUUAAGUUGGAAGUGAAAUCCCCGGGCUCAACCUGGGAACUGCUUUCAAAACUGGUGAGCUAGAGUACGGUAGAGGGUGGUGGAAUUUCCUGUGUAGCGGUGAAAUGCGUAGAUAUAGGAAGGAACAUCAGUGGCGAAGGCGACCACCUGGACUGAUACUGACACUGAGGUGCGAAAGCGUGGGGAGCAAACAGGAUUAGAUACCCUUGUAGUCC
Molecule: ribosomal RNA, 450 nt
Filed under: uncultured bacterium
Lineage: Bacteria
Description: bacterial SSU rRNA
Rfam family: Bacterial small subunit ribosomal RNA
Source: RNAcentral